CUUUGGUUUUGGAAAGGGAGACUUUUUGAAGGGAAGCAUGGCCUGGACACUGGUUUUCCUUUCCCUUCUCAGUUAUUUCUCAUGCGUCACUUCACAGCCCACCUUGACUCAGCCUGCCUCCCAGUCUGGAUCUCCAGGAGGGACAACUAAAAUCUCCUGUGCCAUCAGUAGCAACCCAAACAACAUUGGCUGGCUUCAGCAGAGAUCUGGGGAAGCCCCUCGCUUUGUGCAAUAUGAUGGCGGCAGCAGAGGAGAAGGGAUCCCAGACCGAUUCACGGCAACCCGAUCAGGCAACAACGGCUACUUAACCAUCACCAACCUUCAGGCUGAAGACGAGGCUGAUUAUCACUGUUACAUGUGGUAUAGCAGUGGUAACAUGUUCCACAGUAUCACAGUCAAGUACAGCAUUAGUCAGGAACCUACCCUCUCUGCAUCUCUUGGGAAACCAGCAACUCUCUCCUGCAACAUCAGCAGUGGCUUCUACUUUAAUUACUUUGCGUGGUGA
This is a non-coding RNA of Pantherophis guttatus, 505 nucleotides long. NCBI's taxonomy places the organism in Eukaryota, Metazoa, Chordata, Lepidosauria, Squamata, Colubridae. The record is from the annotation of a RefSeq genome assembly.